RNAcentral lists this ribosomal RNA (433 nucleotides) under uncultured bacterium. RNAcentral's name for it is "partial 16S ribosomal RNA". It matches the Rfam family "Bacterial small subunit ribosomal RNA", at positions 29 to 507 of the family's 1533-position model. The record is from RNAcentral.
AACGAACGCUGGCGGCAUGCCUAACACAUGCAAGUCGAACGAGACCUUCGGGUCUAGUGGCGCACGGGUGCGUAACGCGUGGGAGCCUGCCCUUAGGUUCGGAAUAACUCCCCGAAAGGGGUGCUAAUACCGGAUAAUGUCUUCGGACCAAAGAUUUAUCGCCUUUGGAUGGGCCCGCGUUGGAUUAGCUAGUUGGUAGGGUAAAAGCCUACCAAGGCGACGAUCCAUAGCUGGUCUGAGAGGAUGAUCAGUCACACUGGGACUGAGACACGGCCCAGACUCCUACGGGAGGCAGCAGUGGGGAAUAUUGGACGAUGGGCGAAAGCCUGAUACAGCAAUGCCGCGUGAGUGAUGAAGGCCUUAGGGUUGUAAAGCUCUUUUACCCGGGAUGAUAAUGACAGUACCGGGAGAAUAAGCUCCGGCUAACUCCGUG